AGGGACUGGAUUAAAAACUGCGUUUGUGUCAAUUCGUGGUAAUUUUCAACACAUAUGACAAAACUAAGAUUUUUUGUUCCUUGUACACGAGCGGCAGACAAAAUAAGUCAUGCCAAUUUUCGAGUGCAACCUUCGUGUUGACGACAACGUUGUUUGCUUUUAGCUCCCUAUCUAUUAAACAUUACAUAAUACCUUAAUAAAGAAAUUUCUCAUUCCGAUUUUAUAUUAUGUACUUGCUAACUUUGCCAAAUACAAUGUGAUCCACAAAACAAACACUCCAUCGCCAAAGACAAGAAAUUUAUCAAAUUCAAAUAUUCCCAAGCUGUGGAACAGUAUAUAGCGAAGUAUAAAGAGAAUCAUGUCAAAAUUUUUCCCAUUUUGUGAUCCCCCAAGACAAAGGUAUUUCCGACAUUUUCUGAAUAGAUCAUGCAACGACAUUGGGAUAUUGUUUCAGAUAUGUUGAGGUUUUUAAUUAAGGUCAAGUCACUUUUGUAGAACUAAAUUUAGUGUCCGGAGUAAUUUCUCGUAAAAACUAUUUCUCGUUUACUAUGAUAUAAUAACUAAAUGAGGAAUUUCCUGAGUAUUGCAGCGCAGUUAAUAAAAAUAGGAUCAAAUUCUUGCAGCUUCUAAAAGUGUAUAUAUACGUAUUAAUAAUUUGACCUAAUUCCCUGCCACGUCUAUAAUAGCCUGCUGAGCAGCAUUGUGAUGUGUCAACCAUUGAUAGAUUACCAUGGUUAAACCAAAAUUGCUCGCUGAAUUCAGGAAACUUCGAUUCUUUCUCGCGACGUAUAGGCACACCUGACAUCUAAUAUUCACGCACAUAUUAUAGCUUCACUAAUAUAGAUCAUUGUUGAAAAUUGUAUGGAAAUUUCCAUACUGCCAUAUACAUUAGAUUUAGUAUAUACAAAUUAUCUGAAUGUCUAUCGAUUUUAAUUUUUUUCCCAAUGCAUGGAUCUGGGCAUGUAUGAUUAGGGUAAGGUUGGGUUAGGGGUAGUCUUAGAGUUACUAUAUUGAUUAAGAUCCGACAUUUAUUGGCAAUGAAAAUGCCUCCAUAUAUUAUAGGGAUGAGUGUCGAGGAGGGGGGAGUGUAGAGGCGGGGUUGUCUCGAAAGGAAGGGUUAGCUAUCUUAGAUUGUGCUAAUUUAGUUCCCUUUAUAUCUCACAACACCAUAUGAGGCUGAGUGUAAGAGGGGUGGGGGGGGGAGAGUAAGUUCCUUUCGAAUCUCUAAAUAUCAUACAGUAAAUGUAUAACUAUCCUUAAAACUGGUUGAUAAAAUUCAGUCAAAGAACACUAAUAAGUUCCUUGCAGGUAUGAUGAAAGAAAUUAUAAUUGUUUCAUUUCGUGGUAUAUAAACAUCAUGUUCGUUAAAAUGCCGCAAAGGUUUCAAAAUAACUCAGCCAUAUAAUUCCUUGUAUGUUUGAAUGAUGAAAGUGAUACAAUUGUCUUGUGUUAUGAAAACAUCACGUUUACUUAUAUUGGCAAACGUUGCGGAUCAAACCAGCUUUGCCAAAUAUCUAAAAGUUGACGUGUUGUUUUACACGAAAACAGGAAUCUAGUACAAAGAGCACUCUUUCAUGUCCUUCUCACAAAAACUGCUUGUUUCUACGAUAUUAAAUUCACUUGAAAUGGUCUUUCUAUAAGCGUUAAAAUACUGUUAUUUUGUUCCGUGACAUACCAGAGAGCACUUGCAGAACCACGCACGUAAACAUUUGAGUAUAAUUACUGAAAUUUUAGCUGGGUUAUUUUUGUAAUUUCAAUAGAAAGACUCCAAUUAUAUAAAUGAUCUUUCAAGAUCCUUUUUGAAAGUCAAAGAAAUUUUAUAACUGAAAAACAGGAAAUAUAUGCUUUGCUAUUUUUAUGUCUCUUUGUGAAGCGGCUUGUUUUGAUCAUUUCAGAAAAUUUUGUUCCGUUAGCUAUUCCAAUUUUUGGAAUACUUUAAAGUUUUCUCACAAAUUUUGCUACGAUGUAUGUGUAUUACAAUAUAUUUUCAAUAGGAUUGAGUUGG
Paramuricea clavata is the source of this 2005-nucleotide non-coding RNA. The record is from the annotation of a GenBank genome assembly. Lineage: Eukaryota; Metazoa; Cnidaria; Anthozoa; Malacalcyonacea; Plexauridae.